GGAAGGCAGCAGGCGCGCAAAUUACCCACUCCCGGCACGGGGAGGUAGUGACGAAAAAUAACAAUACGGGACUCUUUUGAGACCCCGUAAUUGGAAUGAGAACAUUCUAAAUCCUUUAACGAGGACCCAUUGGAGGGAAAGUCUGGUGCCAGCAGCUGCGGUAACUCCAGCUCCAAUAGCGUAUAUUAAAGUUGUUGCGGUUAAAAAGCUCGUAGUUGGAUCUCAGUUCGAGACGGACGGUCCGCCUACCGGUGGUCACUGUCUGUUCUCAACACCAGCCGGUUUCCCUGGAUGAUCUUCACCGGUUGUCUUGGGUGACCGGCAAGUUUACUUUGAAAAAAUUAGAGUGCUCAAARCAGGCGUGACGCCUGGAUAAUGGUGCAUGGAAUAAUGGAAUAGGACCUCGGUUCUAUUUUGUUGGUUUUCGGAACACGAGGUAAUGAUUAAGAGGGACAGACGGGGGCAUUCGUAUUGCGACGCUAGAGGUGAAAUUCUUGGACCGCCGCACGACGAACUACUGCGAAAGCAUUUGCCAAGAAUGUUUCCAUUAAUCAAGAACGAAAGUUAGAGGUUCGAAGGCGAUCAGAUACCGCCCUAGUUCUAACCAUAAACGAUGCCAGCCAGCGAUCCGGCUGUGUUCCUCAAAUGACACGCCGGGCAGCUUCCGGGAAACCAAAGCUUUUGGGUUCC
Molecule: ribosomal RNA, 690 nt
Filed under: Meta menardi
Lineage: Eukaryota; Metazoa; Arthropoda; Arachnida; Araneae; Tetragnathidae
Description: SSU rRNA
Rfam family: Eukaryotic small subunit ribosomal RNA
Source: RNAcentral